GACACGCUACGCAGGCUAAUACUGCAGUCGAACGGUGCUUCGGGCAUAGUGGCGCACGGGUGCGUAACACGUAUGCAACCUACCUUACAUUGGGGGAUAGCCUUUCGAAAGGGAGAUUAAUACCGCAUAACACAGUGAGUUGGCAUCAGCUUAUUGUUAAAGAUUUAUCGAUGUAAGAUGGGCAUGCGUCCAAUUAGUUAGUUGGCGAGGUAACGGCUCACCAAGACGAUGAUUGGUAGGGGAACUGAGAGGUCAAUCCCCCACACUGGCACUGAGAUACGGGCCAGACUCCUACGGGAGGCAGCAGUAGGGAAUAUUGGGCAAUGGACGCAAGUCUGACCCAGCCAUGCCGCGUGCAGGAAGACGGCCCUCUGGGUUGUAAACUGCUUUUAUAUAGGAAGAAAGAAUCCUUGCGAGGAUAGUUGACGGUACUAUAAGAAUAAGCACCGGCUAACUCCGUGCCAGCAGCCGCGGUAAUACGGAGGGUGCAAGCGUUGUUCGGAUUUAUUGGGUUUAAAGGGUGCGCAG
This 528-nucleotide ribosomal RNA is filed under the name uncultured Cytophagales bacterium. RNAcentral describes it as "bacterial SSU rRNA". It matches the Rfam family "Bacterial small subunit ribosomal RNA", at positions 31 to 574 of the family's 1533-position model. The record is from RNAcentral. Lineage: Bacteria; Pseudomonadati; Bacteroidota; Sphingobacteriia; Sphingobacteriales.